GGGCGUUAAGUUGCAGGGUAUAGACCCGAAACCCGGUGAUCUAGCCAUGGGCAGGUUGAAGGUUGGGUAACACUAACUGGAGGACCGAACCGACUAAUGUUGAAAAAUUAGCGGAUGACCUGUGGCUGGGGGUGAAAGGCCAAUCAAACCGGGAGAUAGCUGGUUCUCCCCGAAAGCUAUUUAGGUAGCGCCUCGUGAAUUCAUCUCCGGGGGUAGAGCACUGUUUCGGCUAGGGGGCCAUCCCGGCUUACCAACCCGAUGCAAACUGCGAAUACCGGAGAAUGUUAUCACGGGAGACACACGGCGGGUGCUAACGUCCGUCGUGAAGAGGGAAACAACCCAGACCGCCAGCUAAGGUCCCAAAGUCAUGGUUAAGUGGGAAACGAUGUGGGAAGGCCCAGACAGCCAGGAUGUUGGCUUAGAAGCAGCCAUCAUUUAAAGAAAGCGUAAUAGCUCACUGGUCGAGUCGGCCUGCGCGGAAGAUGUAACGGGGCUAAACCAUGCACCGAAGCUGCGGCAGCGACGCUGAUGCGUUGUUGGGUAGGGGAGCGUUCUGUAAGCCUGUGAAGGUGGCCUGUGAGGGUUGCUGGAGGUAUCAGAAGUGCGAAUGCUGACAUAAGUAACGAUAAAGCGGGUGAAAAG
Molecule: ribosomal RNA, 642 nt
Filed under: Salmonella enterica subsp. enterica
Lineage: Bacteria; Pseudomonadati; Pseudomonadota; Gammaproteobacteria; Enterobacterales; Enterobacteriaceae
Description: bacterial LSU rRNA
Rfam family: Bacterial large subunit ribosomal RNA
Source: RNAcentral